This 253-nucleotide ribosomal RNA is filed under the name uncultured bacterium. RNAcentral describes it as "partial 16S ribosomal RNA". It matches the Rfam family "Bacterial small subunit ribosomal RNA", at positions 524 to 776 of the family's 1533-position model. The record is from RNAcentral.
UACGGGGGGAGCAAGCGUUGUUCGGAUUUACUGGGCGUAAAGCGUGCGUAGGUGGUGAGUUAAGUCUGUCGUGAAAGCCCCGGGCUCAACCUGGGAAUGGCGAUGGAUACUGGCUCGCUAGAGCACGGUAGAGGCGAGUGGAAUUCCCGGUGUAGCGGUGGAAUGCGUAGAUAUCGGGAAGAACACCGGUGGCGAAGGCGGCUCGCUGGGCCGUUGCUGACGCUGAGGCGCGAAAGCGUGGGGAGCAAACAGG